Molecule: unclassified non-coding RNA, 334 nt
Filed under: soil metagenome
Description: partial contains 5.8S ribosomal RNA, internal transcribed spacer 2, and large subunit ribosomal RNA
Rfam family: 5.8S ribosomal RNA (bases 1-120)
Source: RNAcentral
GAUGAAGAACGUAGUGAAAUGCGAUAAGUAGUGUGAAUUGCAGAAUUCAGUGAAUCAUCGAAUCUUUGAACGCACAUUGCGCCCCUUGGUAUUCCAUGGGGCAUGCCUGUUCGAGCGUCAUUUGUACCUUCAAGCUUUGCUUGGUGUUGGGUGUUUGUCCAUUUUCUUGCAGAGGGACUCGCCUUAAAGUAAUUGGCAGCCAGUGUUUUGGUUUUGAAGCGCAGCACAAGUCGCGAUUCAAAGCUAUACGCCCGCUUCCACAAGCCUUUUUCACUUUUGACCUCGGAUCAGGUAGGGAUACCCGCUGAACUUAAGCAUAUCAAUAAGCGGAGGA